AAUAAAACACACAAUGUCUGAUUGGAAAUUAGGAUGUUCUGUGUACUGGCCAGUGUUCUCCUCGGAUUGACAGUGGAUUGUUCUCUGCAUAGGUUCUUUGGAUAGUGGUUCCUUAAACCAUUUACACAUUGUACCAUCUUCCCCAUCAUUAUGGGAAGAAGAGAUUCAAGACAAAUGACUUAUUAUUAGACUAUUUAUCAAAGCCAAACCACACACACAAAUAUAAUGCUCAGGUGAGCAGGUUCACUUUGGCCCACUCCUGUGUUGACACAACUAAAGGGUGCCAUAGUUUGAGAACUGCUGCAAAACUACAAAAUGCUUAUUUUGUGCUCAGGUUUUCCUUGAUUACAACUAGAGUCCACUAUUAUAUAUUUUUUAUACACAUUUAUUCCAAUAUCAUUUAGUUCAACACAAGUCAUUUUUUUCUUGUUGGCCUUGCAGCCUGCUUUUUAAAAAGAAACUUGGAAAUUUGAUUAUUUAAACUGAAUUAUUUUAUUAUUAAAACCUCUGAAACAUGGAUUUGUGUCUGUUAAGAAAUAACGUGCUGUUACCUAUGAAGAUACUAUUCACCAUAAUAUUGUCUGGUUCAGAGGACACCAGUUCUAGUACAGCACUUGUAAUAACAUUUUAAGCAUGUUGAGAAGUAGAACAUAGACCCAACCAAUUUUGUCUUAAAGAAACAUAUAUAAUCACCUUUGUAACAGCGGUCUUUUGUAUCAUAUCCUUAAUGUGACUGUUCCACAUUUCCUGUGGCCCACACAAAUUACCAACAUGUGCAAUUGUGCAAUAAAUCCAACAGGAGGCAAUAGUAGUAUGCAUGUUAAGGCAAAUUCACCAUACACACUGGAUCUAAUUUACAGCCUAAUAUUUUGGGGAGGAUCAAACCAUUUCUUUUUGUGUAAGGGACAAGAAACACAAGCUUUGUUUUUUUAAAUAAAAUUUAUAAAACAACAUUAUUUUUUAACUGAACUAAAUAUAAUAAAUGUUGGUCAUGUCUCAUUAUCUUUUACCCAAGACUAAACUAAAAUAAUAAAUAAAAUGAAAUGUUAGUAAAGUAAAAAAACUUAACAUAAGGAACUUAUUUCUUUGAAACUAUUUUCACAUACACUGAAAAAAAAAAAAAAUUCCAACCCUUUU
Cynoglossus semilaevis (tongue sole) is the source of this 1137-nucleotide long non-coding RNA. RefSeq lists it as uncharacterized. NCBI's taxonomy places the organism in Eukaryota, Metazoa, Chordata, Actinopteri, Pleuronectiformes, Cynoglossidae. The record is from RefSeq and is a predicted model, not a curated record. The transcript is spliced from 2 exons.